UACGUAGGGUGCGAGCGUUAAUCGGAAUUACUGGGCGUAAAGCGUGCGCAGGCGGUGAUGUAAGACAGAUGUGAAAUCCCCGGGCUCAACCUGGGAACUGCAUUUGUGGCUGCAUCGCUGGAGUGCGGCAGAGGGGGAUGGAAUUCCGCGUGUAGCAGUGAAAUGCGUAGAUAUGCGGAGGAACACCGAUGGCGAAGGCAAUCCCCUGGGCCUGCACUGACGCUCAUGCACGAAAGCGUGGGGAGCAAACAGG
This 253-nucleotide ribosomal RNA is filed under the name uncultured bacterium. Its description in RNAcentral is "partial 16S ribosomal RNA". It matches the Rfam family "Bacterial small subunit ribosomal RNA", at positions 524 to 776 of the family's 1533-position model. The record is from RNAcentral.